AUCUCAGACUGCUGUGCUAGCAAUCAGCGAGACUCCGUGGGCGUAGGACCCUCCGAGCCAGUAAGAUGAACCCGGUACCUCAGAUGGAAAUGCGGAAAUCACCCGUCUUCUGCGUCGCUCACCCUGGGAGCUGUAAACCGGAGCUGUUCCUGUUCGGCCAUCUUGGCUCCUCCCUCAGGUAUCCUUCAGAAAGCCUGGGCAAUAAACCGAAGGCUCCUAAAAAGAGCAAAGUGUCUGCCAGGCACGAUGGCUCAUGCCUGUAAUCCCAGAACUUUGGGAGACCAAGGCAGGUGGAUCACCUGAGUUCGGGAGUUCGAGACAAGCCUGACCAACGUGGUAAAACCCUAUCUCUACUAAAAAUACAAAAUUAGCCAGGCAUGGGGGCAUAUGCCUGUAAUCCCAGCUAUGUGGGAGGCUGAGGCAGGAGAAUCACUUGAACCCAGGAGGCAGAGGUUGCAGUGAACUGAGAUGGCGCCAUUGCACUCCAGCUUGGGCAACAGGAGUGAAACUCCAUCUCAAACAACAACAACAACAACAACAACAACAACAAAAACACUUUCACACCUGAAUGACUAAAUAAUUGGAAAUAAUAAGGGUUGAGGGGGAGAAUAAAGCUACUGAAAUAUGGAAAGAAGACUAACACUACUUUUAAACUGAUGUUCUACUAAUGUAGACCCGUACAUCAUAUCACCAUUACAUUGUUUAAGCAUUAAAGUUUGCACUGUAAGUGGCUCUUUAAACCCUUCCCUCCAUUUCUUUUCCCUCUC
Molecule: non-coding RNA, 767 nt
Filed under: Pan troglodytes (chimpanzee)
Lineage: Eukaryota; Metazoa; Chordata; Mammalia; Primates; Hominidae
Source: RNAcentral